GUAGAUAGAAAAAUUUAUAUCUGAGCAGGAGAUGAAAAUAAUGCACAUUCCCUACAUAGGAUGAAGAAACAUGUAAUUUUUCAUCUCCUUAGGAAAUAAAAAUUCCUUUUACAGGUAUAUAUUAUUCUCUUAAAGAUUAUAUUGUAUAAAGCUAUUUCAACUCUGCUCAAACCUCCACUGGCAUUUAGGUUUAAUGGCAAAGGAAACCAAAAGCAUUUUGCCAGCACAAUAAAAGGAUUGUCUUUCUCCAAAUGACCGGGAGGUCCUUAAACCCAUUGCUUAUAAUGCCUAAUAUAUACUUGUCAGGGUACACUUUCAGCAUAAUGUUUCUACCUUUGAUAAGAAAAUGAAUUCCAUAUUCCUAUUCAUAAAACAUUUUACUCUCUAAUCUCUCCAAGACCAGACAAACAUUCUUUGCGCUGAUAAACCUAAAUAUUUUUGACAGUUUAUUCAAGAAAUAAUUAGAAACAGCAAAAUUGGGCUUUUAUUAUGAUGUAGACAUUGAACUGUUUUAUAAUCUGUGCAAAUAAAAUCAAGUUUUUUUUAUGUGCCACUCUAUCAAAAAAAAAAGCUUAACUAACAAAAAGAUUAUGGCUUCCCUUCCCUGGAAACAUUCUUCCUGUCCUACAAGCCUUGUCUGAAUAUCUUUUUAUGUCCUUAGGAGAAUAAAGGCACGUACUUUUAACACAUUUCAGUUUAAACCAUGAUCCUAAUCUUCUGCUUAGUCUGUGUUAGCAAACUCCCGGGAUUGAACUCCUCACUGAUGUUUAGGGAGAUGCACCU
Molecule: long non-coding RNA, 783 nt
Filed under: Bos taurus (domestic cattle)
Lineage: Eukaryota; Metazoa; Chordata; Mammalia; Artiodactyla; Bovidae
Description: long non-coding RNA NONBTAT011112
Source: RNAcentral